RNAcentral lists this ribosomal RNA (492 nucleotides) under uncultured bacterium. Its description in RNAcentral is "bacterial SSU rRNA". It matches the Rfam family "Bacterial small subunit ribosomal RNA", at positions 43 to 524 of the family's 1533-position model. The record is from RNAcentral.
CAGGCCUAACACAUGCAAGUCGAACGGUAGCAGGAAGCAGCUUGCUGCUUCGCUGACGAGUGGCGGACGGGUGAGUAAUGUCUGGGAAACUGCCUGAUGGAGGGGGAUAACUACUGGAAACGGUAGCUAAUACCGCAUAACGUCGCAAGACCAAAGAGGGGGACCUUCGGGCCUCUUGCCAUCGGAUGUGCCCAGAUGGGAUUAGCUAGUAGGUGGGGUAACGGCUCACCUAGGCGACGAUCCCUAGCUGGUCUGAGAGGAUGACCAGCCACACUGGAACUGAGACACGGUCCAGACUCCUACGGGAGGCAGCAGUGGGGAAUAUUGCACAAUGGGCGCAAGCCUGAUGCAGCCAUGCCGCGUGUAUGAAGAAGGCCUUCGGGUUGUAAAGUACUUUCAGCGGGGAGGAAGGUGUUGAGGUUAAUAACCUCAGCAAUUGACGUUACCCGCAGAAGAAGCACCGGCUAACUCCGUGCCAGCAGCCGCGGUAAU